RNAcentral lists this microRNA precursor (103 nucleotides) under Marmota monax (woodchuck). Lineage: Eukaryota; Metazoa; Chordata; Mammalia; Rodentia; Sciuridae. The record is from RNAcentral.
AGAGGAAUAGCUGGGUCAAAUGGUGGUUCCAUUUUCAGUUUUCCAAGGAAUCUCCAUAGUGCUUUCCAAAUUGGCUGCACCAAUUUGCAGUUCCACCAGCAGU